This 1007-nucleotide ribosomal RNA is filed under the name Arthrinium sp. RNAcentral describes it as "SSU rRNA". It matches the Rfam family "Eukaryotic small subunit ribosomal RNA", at positions 76 to 1093 of the family's 1831-position model. Lineage: Eukaryota; Fungi; Ascomycota; Sordariomycetes; Amphisphaeriales; Apiosporaceae. The record is from RNAcentral.
AUACGGCGAAACUGCGAAUGGCUCAUUAAAUCAGUUAUCGUUUAUUUGAUAGUACCUUACUACUUGGAUAACCGUGGUAAUUCUAGAGCUAAUACAUGCUUAAAAUCCCGACUCACGAAGGGAUGUAUUUAUUAGAUUAAAAACCAAUGCCCUUCGGGGCUCUUUGGUGAUUCAUAAUAACUUUUCGAAUCGCAUGGCCUUGCGCCGGCGAUGGUUCAUUCAAAUUUCUGCCCUAUCAACUUUCGAUGGCAGGGUCUUGGCCUGCCAUGGUGACAACGGGUAACGGAGGGUUAGGGCUCGACCCCGGAGAAGGAGCCUGAGAAACGGCUACUACAUCCAAGGAAGGCAGCAGGCGCGCAAAUUACCCAAUCCCGACUCGGGGAGGUAGUGACAAUAAAUACUGAUACAGGGCUCUUUUGGGUCUUGUAAUUGGAAUGAGUACAAUUUAAAUCCCUUAACGAGGAACAAUUGGAGGGCAAGUCUGGUGCCAGCAGCCGCGGUAAUUCCAGCUCCAAUAGCGUAUAUUAAAGUUGUUGCAGUUAAAAAGCUCGUAGUUGAACCUUGGGCCUGGCUGGCCGGUCCGCCUCACCGCGUGCACUGGUUCGGCCGGGCCUUUCCCUCUGGGGAACCGCAUGCCCUUCACUGGGUGUGUCGGGGAACCAGGACUUUUACUGUGAAAAAAUUAGAGUGUUCAAAGCAGGCCUAUGCUCGAAUACAUUAGCAUGGAAUAAUAGAAUAGGACGUGUGGUUCUAUUUUGUUGGUUUCUAGGACCGCCGUAAUGAUUAAUAGGGACAGUCGGGGGCGUCAGUAUUCAAUUGUCAGAGGUGAAAUUCUUGGAUUUAUUGAAGACUAACUACUGCGAAAGCAUUCGCCAAGGAUGUUUUCAUUAAUCAGGAACGAAAGUUAGGGGAUCGAAGACGAUCAGAUACCGUCGUAGUCUUAACCAUAAACUAUGCCGACUAGGGAUCGGGCGAUGUUAUUAUUUGACUCGCUCGGCACCUUACGA